Molecule: transfer RNA, 75 nt
Filed under: Candidatus Aenigmatarchaeota archaeon
Lineage: Archaea; Nanobdellati; Candidatus Aenigmatarchaeota
Description: tRNA-Glu
Rfam family: tRNA
About the family: Transfer RNA (tRNA) molecules are approximately 80 nucleotides in length.
Source: RNAcentral
GCUCCCUUCGUCUAGUCCGGUCAAGGAUAAGAGCUUCUCGAGCUCUGGACACGGGUUCAAAUCCCGUAGGGAGCA